UACAUUAAGGUUUCAAAAUGCUUAUAUGGAUGGUUUGCGGAUGUUUACAGUGAGAAACACAAAAUGUGUGUUAGCGUAUGAAAGAGAGAGCAAGUGAGCACAGUAGGGAAUUUGGCUUUCUAUCACAUGAUUCAGCAAAGAAUUAAAUGAGGAGAUGGGUAUCAAUUUUCUGGUGCCAAAAGAAGUUAAGGACAAGGCUACUGGGAUUUGCAGCUGGCUGGAGUCAGAAGAAUUACCUUGUCUGGUGUAACUCUGUGAGCUUUUGUGUGUUUGUUUCCCUGGGGGCAGGAGCUAGAACCUAUUGUGAUGUGAUAGUCCUUUGCUUCCUGGAAGCAGCAGAUCUCCCACCCAAUGACCAAUUGCCUCAACAAACCGGAGCAGACGAGUCAGCUACUUCCUCAAAUCUCCUGGGUGAGUGAUCACACCAAUGAGUGGUGUGAUAAAAAAACUUCCAUUACAGUCCCUAGGGACUCAGCUUUAACACAAUUUCAGCAGAGGGAUAGUGGGGCAGCCAGAGAGCAGAAGUGGAAACCAGAGGGAGUAAGGAAUCUGUCUACUUCUGCAAGGAUUAAUGCUACACCAAAAGGGAAACAAAACUCGUCUACAUUAUUCCUGUCUGUAUGGAAUUAACAAUAAUGAAAAGAAAGCACCUCAACCUUUGCCAUGGGGCGUCUGCAGAAUGGUGCAGAUUUUCCACCUUUAGUUGCAAAUGCUGAUGAGUUACUGGAGGCUCUGGAGAGACUCAGAGCUUCAAGGGAAACUUCUGACACCACAAUUAUACUGACAGUAUGGUAUUCUUCUGAACAGUAUUGUUCUAGUCCUUUGGUUUUUCACUACACUUAUAAAUUUAUCCUUUCUGUUCCUAAGAAGUGAGGAAGCACUUCUCUUUCCUUUUUUUUUUUUUUUUUUUUUUUUCAAAUGACAAUGGAAAUACAGGGAAAUGUAAAGACUUUACCAAUGCCAAAACCCAGAAAUAUGUGAUAGUUUAGGAUCUGCUAGUUUAGGUCUUCAAAAUGCUAAGAUGCGCCACUGACCAACUUUCUUCUGCAACAGUUACAAAAGUUGUAUUGCUUUAACUAGUACAACAUGCAGAAGUGUAAAGAAACAUACACCAUAUAAAGUGUAAGGGGGAAUACAUCAUAUUCUUUAAAUACUUGAGUUUGUGUAAUUACAUUGAUAACAAACAUAUCCAGGGCAUAAUAUGUAGUCAUUAUGCAUUAUAUCGUCAGGAAGUAGGAAUCAAAGUGAUCAUUUAAUUUGUUUGUUCAAGUCAUUUUUCACACUUGGAUUAUAAAUAUCCAUCACUCCAAUACUAAAAGACAAGACAUUAAAGUGAUUAUUUUGCUCUUAACCUCAGGUGAAGCAAUAUCAAUUCAGUCCACUGAAAAUUUAUCUGCUUUCACUGUAGCCAUUGUAAGCAUUUAGGCAUUUCUUUAUCUAUUAUUUCCCAUUUUCCAGUGAGAAGAUACAAAUAGAAUAAGACUCACUGAAAACCUCUCUUCCUCAACCUUUAUGGAAAAAGAACCUCAAUCACAUAACCCAUGUCAAUCCAUAAUCUCAAGGAAUUUGGAAUCAUGCCUAGUGUUAUUCCAAAUAUCUUUAAAUUUGAAGCAAACUCAGAAAUAGUAGUGUAAACCAGAUAUAGACCUUUUCUGACAAAAACAGCUAUUACCAUUCUAGAAUACUGCUUAAUAAUAUACGGUUGCAAGUAUGGACUGGUCUUGUGUCAAAGAUCCCUGAAGAAAUACAGUCAGUGCUCCAGAUUCCUGUCUUUCUUUUCGUACAAAAUAAUUAUCCUCUUGCAGCUGCUGGGACUUGCCCUUCUAGAUUUUUUUCAGUACUGUGUCGCAGUUGCAGUAAAUGACAGCAUGACGAUUUCAGCACAUUUCAAAGACCAUGCAGUCAACAAAGAUAUCCCUCUCUGAAGGCAUGUUGUGCUUUGUUCAUUAGUUAUACCCACAGAUGUUAUAAUGUCAGAUUUGCGUUGAUCAGUGACAAAAUUUUUCUUUCAUUCUCUUGGAAAUUCAAUUCCCCUGUAAAAUCUGAAAUUGGAUACUACAUGACGCACUCAACACAAUGUCUGAGGCCUUUUAGGUUUUCUGGCUCAUGCUCUUCCUCACAGAGUUGAGGAGAGGUAUCAGCAUGGGAGCCCUCUGGCUUUGUGACGCUAUCAGAACCACACGCAAUUCUCUGGCAAAUCAAGACAGCGAAGUUAGUUUCCAGCAGCUGCCCUCAGAGCAAAUUUAGUUUUUACUUCCCAUACCUCUUACAGAGGCAGUUGUCGGGUAUUCCCUUGCUCUUAGAAUAACCUCAGCUCUGUACAUGAUUUGGAAAACCUUGGGAUGAAAUAGAAUAUCCUAUAUUAUAUUGGAUACUAAGGUCCUUAAUUUAUUAGACACUGAUGCAUAAAAUUAGCAGGAGAAAUACUUUAAAAUACAAGAGAUAUCACCUCUGAGAAAGUCCCACUAGCUAGUCCCAGCUUUAGUCUAACCCCUUAGAGUCAUUUUACAUUCCUAGCAGUUUCCCUAUAAAGUAUAACUUCUUAUUCUCGCACAUGUGCAUACUAAAUGACAUAGAUAAGAAUAUUUCUAUUGGAAACAAGAUCAUGUUCUGUUCACUCUUCCUAAAGAAUAAUUUGCAUUAAGGACAAACUCCCCAGUUUCAGACCAAGUUGUUAUAAAAAUGCCAAACCAAAUAACAAACCAACUCGUGAAGACUUUCAUCUGUAGGCAAUUUUUUUUUCUUCUUCUCUCUCUCUCUCUCUUUUUUUUUUUUUCCUUCAUUUUUUUUUCUUCUAAUGGUUAAUAACAUCUGCAUGUAUAUAACUUCCUUAGAGCUACAGUAUUACGCACUCAACAGUAUUUUAGCUGUAGAUUGUAAUUGGCAUGAUAAAGGAUCAUAAGUGUAUCUUUUCUGUCAGCUUGUGCCAUUAAGAACCUCUAACCAUGGAUCACUGAUGUAACAGAUCAUUGCGGUCCAUUGUGUCAGUUCAUUUGUUGGGAUCUGUGCACUAUAAGCAUGACAGAAUUCCUCUGCAGCAAUUAUAGUCUAUUGUGACAAUAGGAUUUAAUGAAUAUAAACAACAAACCACAUAAUCUGUUAUUACAGAACACAGCUAUGCACCCAGAUGGGAAUUACAUUCCUAGACAUUACCAGUUGCAGUUUUUAUAAUUGUGACUAUUUCAGUCAUUGUGUUUUUAACUGUAAUACUCUAAUUUACCACAUAUAUUUAUCUCAGCCCUGGCAGGUGAAAGGUCUUCAGAAUUUAAAGUCUAAUCCUGCAAAUGUUCCAUGAUUUUAUUUUUUUCUGAGUAAAAAAUUAUCUUUUAGUUUUUUAGACACUUGCUGCUGACUUUUGCUGUGAUACUAAUGGUGCUAUUAAUGCUUCGGUGCCACCAUUGUAGAUGAAACAAGCAAAUACACUAAAAUUGGUCACAGAAAUUAAUGACGCAUAGCAGAACACAGAAUCAUAGAAUCGUAGAAUAUCCUGAGUUGGAAGGGACCCAUAAGGAUCAUCAAGUCCAACAUUCCGGUAUUGUUUCCAAAGAAUAAACACUUCUGCUCAAUAUUAAUUUUUACAAAUGAUGGGCAAAGUGCUAUACCAGCGCAAAUCCAUAAAAUCAUGAUGAUGGGAAUUUUGCUGAUUGAUGCAGCUGAAGGCCUGACCUAGAGAAUUUGAUAUACAUUUGUGAAAUUAAUACUCUUUUUAAAAGCACAUAAAUGCUCCAUUAUAUUAAAGCUGUGCAGUCUACAAAAGUUCACAUUAUCCCCAGGGUGAUUUCAAAAAUCUGGCUCUAUUACAGAGAUUUUCAGCUUUUUAGUAUGAGUUCUGGGCUUGAGUAUAUCAGAGGUCACAAUUAUAGUGUGGUAUUGCUGUAUUUUCAUCUACGUAGAUGGGCACUACUGGAGUAUAUAUAUACUUUAAGUAAUAGAAAAUUGUCUGUAAAGAAUAAAUUAAUGAGGACUACAUGUGAAUUAGCUAUAUAAAUGCCACAACACUUAUCAUGUACUUUUGAGGGGAAAUCUCCAAGUAAACAUAUUUCCACACACUUAUUAUCAAGAGGA
Cygnus olor (mute swan) is the source of this 4065-nucleotide long non-coding RNA. RefSeq lists it as uncharacterized. Lineage: Eukaryota; Metazoa; Chordata; Aves; Anseriformes; Anatidae. The transcript has 3 exons. The record is from RefSeq and is a predicted model, not a curated record.